AGGAUCCAUGAGGCAAGUCUGGUGCAGCAGCCGCGGGUAAUUCCAGCUCAAUAGCGUAUAUUUAAGUUGUUGCAGUUAAAAAAGCUCGUAUUGGACUUUGGGGUUGGGUCGGCGGGUCCCGCCAUCAGGUGUGCACCGUUUACUCGUCCUUCUGUGGCGAUGCGCUUCCUACCCUUACUGGCGGGUUCGGCCUCCGGCGUUGUUACUUGAAGAAAUUAGAGUGUCUCAAAGC
This 232-nucleotide long non-coding RNA is filed under the name Helianthus annuus (common sunflower). It matches the Rfam family "Eukaryotic small subunit ribosomal RNA", at positions 539 to 781 of the family's 1831-position model. The record is from RNAcentral. Lineage: Eukaryota; Viridiplantae; Streptophyta; Magnoliopsida; Asterales; Asteraceae.